GAGGAGAGGUUUCAGAUCAGAGCCCAAGGGAGGCCAGGGAGGGGAAGAGAGGUGUCAGCUCUGGGUUCUGGGGGAGGGGACGGAAGGGAGGAGAGGUGACUGCUCAGAGUAUGGGGGAAGCCCAGGACUCCUACUGAGCUGAGCUGAGUGACUAUCCCAUCUGCCCAGCCCCCCUGUGAGCCUGCACAGGCACCAAGACAGUGCCCCAGCCAAGCCUCGGCAGGGGGACACCCUCUUCCUUCACCCCAUAGUAUUCACUGAGCCAAGGAGUGGUGGGAAUAGGGUCCAGCCCCAGCCUGUGUCUUAUGGGGAUAUAGACACUCACCAAAAAACACUCAUUUCCCAACAUAAAAAUCCAAACCUGGGUUUCCACGCACCUAGAAAAUAGAGCUUCCGGAGGCUUCAAACAGUCAGCUGCUCACGGGAAUGACCACUGACUUAGUGACACGUAACAUAGCACAGUGACAGUCCACAUCUCAGAGAGGGCUCCCCUUCCCUCCCCUCUUCCCAUACAGUAAUCUUCUCCAUGGCCUCUGGGGCCCCUGUCAAAUUCUGCAUCUUCCUGUGUGAUCAUGAUUCUAACCUCCUGUGUGUCUCCUAAACAGGACUUAUGGGAGGAAAGGGGCCAGGUGGCCAGGUGACUGUGACUGUACACACAAGAGCAUCUCAAACUAGCAUCCGUGGCGCUGGCCAGGUCUUUCCCAAACACACUGCUGUGCAAAGUCCCCAAAGGCAGCUCACACAGGACCCCUUCGGGAGGACUCACUCCCUCUAGGGUGAUCUGGGGGAAAGUCUGCUCCCAUUCAGACACCUUGAGGAAUUGCAGGUGGCCUCAGAUGUCACCGAAGGUAAUGGAGCUGGAGUAGGGCCAGCUUUUCUAAAAAGCCAGUUGGUCACCUGGAGCUCCAGUCGACCUAAUUCUAUCUGGCCAGGAACCCAAGUAAUGGUCACCGCAAGAACAGAACACCUGUGCCCAGGGCAGGUGACGGUGGUGGGACCUGUAUCCUGGAUAUCCCUGGACAUUCCCAGUUCAGGCCUGUGUCCCAGUCUGCUUAUUAAUAGCACCCCUUCCACUCCCAGAAAUGUCCCAGUUUGGGUGAUAAGUUUUUUUAAAUAUUUUAUUUAUUUAUUCAUAAGAGACACACAGAGAGAGAGAGAGAGAGAGAGGCAGAGACACAGGCAGAGGGAGAAGCAGGCUCCAUGUGGGGAACCUGAUGUGGGACUCAAUCCCGGGACCCCAGGAUCACGCCCUGGGCCGAAGGCAGGCGCUGAACCGCUGAGCCACGCAGGGAUCCCCAGGAUGAUAGCUUUGAAGCUCUGAGCUCAUGACCGCUUGCUGACUGAAUGAUGUCCCUUAUGAGUUACAGUCGGGGAGGGGCCAAGGCCCUGCGGUCAGCCGGGCCGGACACCCUGCGGUGCAGCACCACUGAGUGGGGUGCUCCUGACAGGGGCACCGUGAUGGGACCCGCGGUGGCCAGGAAGACCUCAGCAGGGGCCACACUCCGUGGUCACUAUGGGGUUCCUGGUCUCUGUGGGCCCCACUCAGAGCCCCCGGGUGUGAGCUGCCCCCAGCCCAGGCUGUGAGAGACCCAGGUGUGACCCUGCCUCUAUUUCCCACGCGAUGACAGGACCAGCAAGGGACGGGUCCUCUGGCAGCCCUUGUGCCCAGGAAUCCAGCAGGUAUCAGGGACAAUGUCUUGGGGAAACCAGGAUGGGGACUAGGGCCGGGGGACUUCGGUGGCCAGAGUCACAGAGCUGGGGUCAUCAGACGCCCCCGGGUCCACUCUGGGGACAGAGCGGCGGACGGUCAGCAUGACCCACCGGGGCACCCCCUGUGGUCACACUCUCUUCCUGUGGCCACAUCAACACCCUUGACACAUCCCCAGGUACCCCUGCUCUUCAGCGUCCAGCCCAGAGACAUCUCACGUCAGGGCUGACGGCCACCGAGCGUCCCCCGAGCAUCCGCCGGCUCGAGCUCGGCUGCUCCGGAGCCUGGACCACCCGCAUGUCCCCACCAGGUGCCCGUCCUUCGUGGGGACAUGUCAGGGUCUCCUGAGCGCCCUGGGGGUGGAAAGGGGCCCAGACCCUGCCCGACUCCGAGAGAAGGGGCGCUGGCCCAGGCGCAGGCCGGAGCAGGCCGGGGGAGGAGGGAUCCCGGCGCAGCCAGGGAGCCCCGGCCUCAGGCUCCCCAGGCAGACUCAGGGCCAGUGUGGCCCGAGGCGCAGCACGGAAGAGGCCUCAGUGUGGACACGACCCAGAGCCGAGUCGCCGCCAGGCCUCCCUUCCCUGGGCACCUACUAUGUGGGGGACCCCAGGGUGGGUAGGGCAGGCGCAGCCCUGCUCGGAGUGCUCCCGUCUGGGGGGACGGAAGUGAGCCUAACAGAUCUGUGAGCCGGGCGGUACGGGAGAUGGGGUUCGCGCCUUGGAGAAAAUAAAGUGGGGUGAAGCGCCAGGCCGCAUGUGGCCGGGGUCUCCCACCCCAGCAGCUGGAGGAGGGGGUCAGGAGGAGCCCUGACAGGGGGCCAGGUCCCCUGUAGCUGUAGCUGGAGCUGGCUCCUGGGGGCCUCAGUUCCUGUCUGCACAGCCUGGUGACAACAGUGAGACUUCAACCCCCCAGAGGGAAGGGAGUGACACUCAGAUGGAAAAUGGGUGUUUGCUUGUGUCCAUGGCUGAUUGUUGUUGUCGUUAUCGUUGAGCUGUUCCAACCCCAGCCAGCCUCGGGCCAGCACCCGGGCCCACGGCUGGGCUCCCCGCAGGCCUGGCACCCUCACCCCGGUACAGCUGGCCUGGCGAAACCAAGAGUCCCUGUUGCUCAAAAUAGCUGGGGAAACCCAGACUGGCCCCAGCCCUAGUAGCAGGUGCCUCUACCUCCCCAAAUGGGGGCAGGAGUUCCAGUUCCAGAAGAUUCCACAAGCCCAUCUGGCGAAAGGGCCUGCAUCCCAGCAUCAAGGCUGCCCAAGCCCCUGUGCCCAGGCCUGAGUUGGGCAGGGUUUGAGAUCACAAUCAAUGGUGAGGAGCAGUAUUCUGUUCCAGAACACUGUGUUCGUGUAGAUCCUGCCCCUUCCUUGGGAUACCCCAUGGACUUCCUAAGUGCCACACAGGGAGCUACACCCAACCGUGGGGGACAGCCAGACAUUUGUUGCUUAGAGGCGCCCUCAGUGAACAUGGCUGGCCAGGGCUAGAUGUGGGACACUGGGUUACACCUGACCUGUUGCUCCUGGCCCUCGAACUCUGGGGAUUGGGUCAGAUACAGAGAUAGGGGGUAAAAAUGUGACCCUCACAAUCGCUACCCUGGGAGUCCAGGGUCUGGGUAGCCUGGAAGCACAGCAGUCCCUCAGGAGGCCUCAGGGAGUCCUUCUUCAAUAAGAGGGCAUCAGAUCACUCAGUCCCUCAUCUACCUGUCCAUAUAUCCAUCUGUUCAUCUGUCCAUCCCUUUACCAUCUAUCCACCCAUCCAUUCAUGAAGGCUUCCUGAGGCUUUCUGGGGGCCUGGCCUGUGAAAGGCUCUCAGCACCCCAUAUCCCAGGAAAGGUGGGACUGGUCUAGCCAAGGCCAAAGUGAGACCUAGAAUGUCCUUGCUUCACCUUUGGAAGAGGAGCUUCAAGUACCAUUCACUGCCUAGUCUGACCCUGUACUGGGUGCUCGGUCUAGAUGCCAAGGGCAAAGGUGUGACAGGCCAGCAUGCUUGAAGGCCUCAGACUCCUGUCUCCCAUGCCGCCUGGCCCGCCAUCCUGCUCACCACCCAGAAAGGGCUGGGUCUUGCCCCGUGGAGGAAGGAGAAUCGGACAUAGAUAAAGGCAACUGAUCCCCAAGACCCUACUGAGUGGCUUCUUGUCCCUGGAGGACUUACAAAACAUGGGGACACGUGGUAUUCAGCUGAGCCGCUCAGGGAUUCUGUGAGGCUGACAGCCGGGAUCAUCGUCCCAUUUCACAGGUCGGAAAACUGAGACUCGACGUGGUUAACGUGCAGAGUGAGUGAGAGCAGCUCCUGCAUCUCCUGACUCCCGCCCGACGGAUGGAGAGACUGAGGCCGGCAGAGGACGGAGCCGCCCGCACUCACCCGGCGGGGCUCCAGCCGUGCCCACGGGCGGUGACCUCCCUCUGCCAUUCUGCGGUCCCGGCUCCCUUUCAGAGGUGCAGGAAGGAGCCCCCAGAGGGGACAUCAGGCUGAGCCAGGCCGACCCCAGGGAUGGUUCCUCUACCCCACGGCAGAGGAGGGAGGGCCAGCAGGCAAAGGGCCUCGGGGACACUCUGCUGUGGGGGCCCUGACCCCAGGGUCAGGCGGGCAGGCGUCCUCACCCCCACGCACCCACUCUCUGCCCUUGACCUUGGCUGAUUCGCGUUCCCUCUGUGGCCUCAGUCUCCUCUUCUGUACAAGGAGGAGAUAACUAGUCUCUCCCCGACAGGGUAGGUAUGGGGAUUCAGGACGUUGCCUGUGACGUGCCUGACUCAUGGGGACCCUCAGCAACCCCCAGCUGUUCCUGUCAUCUCCUGGGCUCUUGCCCACAUCUGACAUGCUGUGUGACCCUGGGCAUUUCCCUUCCCCUCUCUGGGCCCCAACCUGCUACUUGCUCAGGGAGAGCUGGAUGAGGAGCCCGGAGGGCCAGAAACUACAAGAAAACUAGAAUUCCUGGAUGAAGGCGUUGCUCAAGGAGGCUCUGGAUCUGCAGGGGCAGCAAGGCCUGAGGUGGGAGCUGGGUGGGGUAGGGGAUUCAGGCAAGGGAGUCAGAGUGGUGGCCCUGCCUGCAGCUGGCCGCCCCUGGGAACCCCCAGGCUAAAGUUAACCCUGAGUUGGCUGAAACCAGAACUCAGGGUAACCAAAAGAGAGAAGUAAAGGGAAGAGAAACCCAGACUGCAACCAGCAGGGCGUGGGAUGUGUGACAAACAGGGCCAGGUGUGCCUGGGGACUAGGACAGGGGCAGUUUCAGGGCUGUAACCGGAUGUUUGUGCAGCUCACAGGUGGGGGUAGCAGAGCCCUUCCCCAACCCAUCCCCCUCUGUGCUGGCCCAGUGGGUCGGUUGGGGUGCUGCCCCCUGGCUGCCUCCCCAAGCUCGGCCCGGGGUCCUGGAAUCCUGGAGGGCCAGGCCUCAAGGGAUCUCAGAACCAGCCAGUGGUGGUCUUCCAUUGCCAGUAGGGCACCCAGGAAAGGGAUGACCAGGGUCCCCCAUGGAAUCAGCACAGGAGGGAGGGCCUGGGCUCUGGAACCCAGCCCUAGGUCCUCCCAGGAGCAGAAUGAACAGAUGAGUGGACCAGUGGGUAAGCAUAAGCGUCCUGACUUCCCAAAACCCCAUGAUUCCAAGGGGACUCAUGGAGACACAGUCUAGCCUUUCUGGAGGAAAUUCAUCCCCUGUGUCCAUGGCCUAUUAAAGUACUUCCCUAACGA
Long non-coding RNA from Canis lupus familiaris (dog), 5382 nucleotides. RefSeq lists it as uncharacterized. The transcript is spliced from 3 exons. Lineage: Eukaryota; Metazoa; Chordata; Mammalia; Carnivora; Canidae. The record is from RefSeq and is a predicted model, not a curated record.